UCGUACGAAAAAGCAAUUUUUAGUGGCGGACGGGUGAGUAACACGUGAGAAUCUGCCCUUAGGAAGAGGAUAACAAGUAGAAAUAUUUGCUAAAACUCUAUAUGCCAGUAGGUGAAAAAAGUAAUUUGCCUAAGGAGGAGCUCGCGUCUGAUUAGCUAGUUGGUAGGGUAAAGGCCUACCAAGGCGACGAUCAGUAGCUGGUCUGAGAGGACGAUCAGCCACACUGGAACUGAGACACGGUCCAGACUCC
Molecule: ribosomal RNA, 250 nt
Filed under: uncultured bacterium
Lineage: Bacteria
Description: partial 16S ribosomal RNA
Rfam family: Bacterial small subunit ribosomal RNA
Source: RNAcentral